CCUGGAAUUCGGAUGCCUCCUAGUCUCACUUGUCCCUAGCCAAAAGGCCAAAUGAGUGAGCUAGAGGGAAAGCCCGAGAGCAAUCCCCCAUCAUCAUACAUUGUGUAGCCAAGAUCAUCACAUUUGGAGCAUCUCCUGGGCCACU
Gavialis gangeticus (Gharial) is the source of this 145-nucleotide long non-coding RNA. RefSeq lists it as uncharacterized. The record is from RefSeq and is a predicted model, not a curated record. The transcript is spliced from 3 exons. NCBI's taxonomy places the organism in Eukaryota, Metazoa, Chordata, Crocodylia, Gavialidae.